UUCUAUGGCGGGCGGUACGUAGGGGCUUCGCGCCCGCCGGCGUUCUUGAGGCAGUCACCGGUAUUGGAACCACUCACCGUCCGCCAUCCUC
Molecule: non-coding RNA, 91 nt
Filed under: Stenotrophomonas indicatrix
Lineage: Bacteria; Pseudomonadati; Pseudomonadota; Gammaproteobacteria; Lysobacterales; Lysobacteraceae
Source: RNAcentral